RNAcentral lists this long non-coding RNA (262 nucleotides) under Carica papaya (papaya). Its description in RNAcentral is "long non-coding RNA (CPAP_LNC006477)". Lineage: Eukaryota; Viridiplantae; Streptophyta; Magnoliopsida; Brassicales; Caricaceae. The record is from RNAcentral.
AGAAAUGACAAGGAUAUAAAGAGCAAGCACAUCGAGUUCUAGAAGACCAUAUCAACGAGAGUCUAGAUAAACUCAUGUGUAUAGCCGAAAGCUUAGUUACGGUGGUAGGUCAACACGUGGUCCAUAACCAAAGUACUGUUAAUGGUAAUAAUACUAGGAUAAAUAACACCCAACUGAUGGAGGAAAAUAAUGAAAAUCUCAUUAAAAGAUUCAAAAGGAUGAACCUACCACCAUUUUUUAGAGUAACUGACCUGAUAUUAGC